Molecule: ribosomal RNA, 670 nt
Filed under: uncultured Methanosaeta sp.
Lineage: Archaea; Methanobacteriati; Methanobacteriota; Methanomicrobia; Methanotrichales; Methanotrichaceae
Description: bacterial SSU rRNA
Rfam family: Archaeal small subunit ribosomal RNA
Source: RNAcentral
CGGCUCAGUAACACGUGGACAACCUACCCUUGGGACGGGGAUAAACCCGGGAAACUGGGUAUAAUACCCGAUAGUCCUCGACUGCUGGAAUGCAUCGAGGUCGAAAGCUCCGGUGCCCAAGGAUGGGUCUGCGGCCUAUCAGGUAGUAGUGGGUGUAGCGUACCUACUAGCCUACGACGGGUACGGGUUGUGAGAGCAAGAGCCCGGAGAUGGAUUCUGAGACACGAAUCCAGGCCCUACGGGGUGCAGCAGGCGCGAAAACUUUACAAUGCUGGAAACAGCGAUAAGGGAACCUCGAGUGCCAGGUUACAAAUCUGGCUGUCGUGAUGCCUAAAAAGCAUUGCAUAGCAAGGGCCGGGCAAGACCGGUGCCAGCCGCCGCGGUAACACCGGCGGCUCGAGUGGUAACCGUUAUUAUUGGGUCUAAAGGGUCUGUAGCCGGCCGGAUAAGUCUCUUGGGAAAUCUGGCAGCUUAACUGUCAGGCUUUCAGGAGAUACUGUCUGGCUCGAGGCCGGGAGAGGUGAGAGGUACUUCAGGGGUAGGGGUGAAAUCUUGUAAUCCUUGAAGGACCACCAGUGGCGAAGGCGUCUCACCAGAACGGACCUGACGGCAAGGGACGAAAGCUAGGGGCACGAACCGGAUUAGAUACCCGGGUAGUCCUAGCCGUAAA